RNAcentral lists this long non-coding RNA (364 nucleotides) under Physcomitrium patens. Its description in RNAcentral is "long non-coding RNA (PPAT_LNC004385)". The record is from RNAcentral. Lineage: Eukaryota; Viridiplantae; Streptophyta; Bryopsida; Funariales; Funariaceae.
UAGGCCAUAAGCAUAGAAAUUUUGUAGAGUUUUGUUAAGUAGUAUUUUUUAGAUAUGUAUCAAUUCUAUGUUUGCGAAGAUGCUGCAUAGUUAGGAGUGGAGUAAUGUAGAAUGGGUAGAAAUUUUUUUUGUACAAUAUAGAUAAAUUAGAUUAAUCAAUCAUAGACUUGUCAAUUCACUAGGUCAAAUGAUUGAAUUAAUUAUAAAAAAUGAUUAAGUAAGAAAUAAUGGUUAAAAUCUAGAAUUUCAAAAGUAAAGCAUAAAUAAGUUGAAGAAGAUAUGGGAGGGGCCAGACUAUGAUAAUCAUGAGCCGGGAUAAGCUCGGUGCUACUUCUGUUUUUUCUUUGUAAUUGAAGAAUAAUUG